This 253-nucleotide ribosomal RNA is filed under the name uncultured bacterium. Its description in RNAcentral is "partial 16S ribosomal RNA". It matches the Rfam family "Bacterial small subunit ribosomal RNA", at positions 524 to 776 of the family's 1533-position model. The record is from RNAcentral.
UACGGAGGGUGCAAGCGUUAUCCGGAUUCACUGGGUUUAAAGGGCGCGUAGGCGGCGUGGUAAGUCAGCUGUGAAAUCUCCGAGCUUAACUCGGAACGGUCAGCUGAUACUGCUGUGCUAGAGUACAGAAGGGGCAAUCGGAAUUCUUGGUGUAGCGGUGAAAUGCGUAGAUAUCAAGAGGAACACCUGAGGCGAAGGCGGGUUGCUAGGCUGAUACUGACGCUGAUGCGCGAAAGCUAGGGUAGCAAACGGG